GGAACUGUUUGGGCUUUGAUAAGAUAUCACUACUCCCAGGUGAGAGGCGGCUGACAGCACAUCAAGGCAAAACAACACGUAGAAACACCGAACAGGGGAGCACAGAGUUGGAUGUUUUCCCUGAAAACAUUGGCAGUGUGGCUCCUCCUAAGCCUGUGUCUCAAUCCCGAACUGAAGGGACCAUCUUCCUGAGGCAGCUAUUCAAAACUGCUGCCAGCUCGCUUGCUUCUACUGAAUUGGCCAGUUACAGACAGACUGGUCAGGAGGUGAUGAACCUGUUUGAGCUGACUGAUUAUUAACCAGGAAUCAAGUUUCAUGCAUAGGCGAGCACAGUGGAAUGACGGAAGGAACCAAGUCUGUCUCUUUUUUUUAGGUCACAGUAAAGGAAGCCAUUUGACUUCACUGUGGUAGUUUUGGAUUGUGUAGAGAAUGGUUAGGACUGUGGGUUUGCGAAUCCUAAAGACCUGCUUUCAAGCUUUGGUCCUGCUAACUAGCUGUUUGAGUUCAGCUGCCAAAGGUCAUCUGACAUAAUAGCUGAUGAAUUCAAGCCCAGUGGAUUUCAUUUGCAAUUUUCAAUUUACUGAGGCCUCCAAACCCCACGGUGAUAAAAGCUUCCCCUAUCGUGGCCUGUCACAAACAUCAAGAAACUGCACAAACCCACAAGAAAGAAAAAAGAGAAAGCUGUGCAUCCUCGCAGGUACAGAUAAGGAGAACAGGAAGAAAUGGUAUCACGCAGGAAGGUAUGGAGCAGCUUGUGUGGCUAGUUCUCCAAAUGCCAGUUGAAAGGAAAAGACUAUGAAGAACAAUCAAAUAACUUCCACAGAAUAACGUCAUGUUUCUUUGGGGCUUUUGUGUGAAAAUUGCGUUCUAAUCUCUUAUUUGACAUGCCCCUAAACAAAAAUAUGAGUGUAAAUAUGCAAAUAAACAAAUGAAUAAAUAAUCUUUGCUUAUUUGAUCAUUGGAAAGAAAGCACACUCUGUGUGUUGUAUUUAGCAUAGUUUUGAUUUACAAAAUGCGUGCUCCUAAAGGAUCUUUUAUCAUGGAAGUGUCAGUCAGCACUAAGAAAUCAUUUGUUUUCUCGUAGAGAAAUGGUAGAUCCUUUGAUUGAUUUGCAAGGGCAGUCAAAGGACUGACAUAGCAACUACUUGUAAGUGGAUCUAGACACAGUGUAUAUUGAAGAUGUAUUAGCAAGGGAAGAAAGCCAUUUUCCCCUCCUGUCAAGCUAUUUACAGUGAACUUUGGCAGGAUCUGGGACUGAAUCUUGCUCCCAGCAAUUGUUCAAAUUGAGGAGACUAUAUGCGUGUUCCUUGCAGAAUGGUAAGUUUAAAAGUUGAGCAGCUCAUCUUCAUCCUAUCCUACACAACUCAUACGAUAGCUUACAAAGAGAAAGCAAAGAGAUGACCACUGUUUGAGGUACAACUGCUUGGAGAAUUCCAUUUCAGACAUGGAUGUCUGGAUCCCAUUUCUACCAAAUAGAUUCAGAAAGGCUUAUGAAAUUGGUCUAAUGAGGCAAGAGAACUUGGCAGAGGGCAUCUAACAACAUGCCUCAUGACGAAAUUUCUCAUGCCAGUUGACAAGAAAACCCAAGAAUGACAUCAACAAGACCAGGAUAUUAACUCCAUUUGUGUAUUGGUAACUGUGAGACACGCACAGGUUGGAAAGGAAAAGAGACUAAUUCCUGGUUGAACUGAUGUGAUUGUGAGAGGCUGCCUACUGUAGAAUGAUAACUUAAACUGUCACAGCAAAAAGCAAAAAUGUGGGCUAUUCAUCAUAAUUGAAUCCUUGGUUCUUUGAAAUUAAACUAUUUCUUAAGAUUUUCUAUUAGCAAAAAAUUUAAUGAUCUUUCAAUUCUUCAAAGUUUUAAAAUAGAAACUGUUUCCUCAAGUAGCUAAAAUGGCAGGAAUUAACAUUUUGAAAUAAGGCAUAAAAAAGUUUAUUCUAAGAUGCAGAAAAUACAGAAGGUAGCCAUAUUUUAGCAUUUUAUUGUUUUUUCUCCUACACAAAAUUGUCAGGAUGUCACUUUUCAAAAGUUGCUUCCUCUUUUCCCCCUUUUGUAGUUUCUAUAGGUUCAAAGAGAACUCUCUCCAUAAUUUGCAGUUUCUAUGGGUUCUCUUUGGAUUGUUAGCAUAAUACAGAGACCCUGGUGAUGGUAAAAGAUUGCUUAAUGGAGUCUUAAUUUAAUCAGUCCUCUAAAAAAAUACGUAUAACUUGGUGAGGGUUUUUCAUUAUCUCUGUUCUUCAAUGGCAGUGAUACAAGGCAAGCUGUACCAAUGGGUCUGUAGUUACAUAGCAGAAAGGUUAAUCUCUUUUAUGUUCCUUCUAUUAGAAAGGCAGUUCUCGAAUCUUCAGGGCAGAGUCCUAAAUUGGUCUUGUAGACUGGUUCACAGAGACUGUUCCCUCUUAUGCCCUACGGCUAAUUACAAUCAGUCAGGCCAGAGCAUUCACUGUCGUUUGAAUGAUGCGAUAGACUAUUUCCCGUUUCAUUAAUUAAUUUUUUUCAUCCCUUCACUUAGUAUUUAUUUAGUAUCUACUAAAUGCAGGACAACUAUGAAUGAGACUUUCCUUACUUUCAAGCAGUUUACAGAAGAGUGAAAUACAGAAUGUUUUACAUCUGCUCUCCCCACCUCCCAGAAUUGUUUUUCAUAUAGCCAUAAAAAGUUUAAAAUAAUGAAAAGUGUAUCUUGAGAAUUUGAGCAAUGGAGUGACACCAUUGACAUCUGGAUAUCUUAUUUCGGGUGAAAGCUGUGUUUCCCAUUUUUUUUGGUAAUACGUGCAUCAUCAUAAUAUUUUUGCCAAGUCUACGUACAAUCUGUACUUAUUUACUCAAUACUUUCCUUUGACAAUUCAGCUUUUUAAAAUUAACUAAGGUCAAUUAGAAAGAGAUAAUUAUCUAUAAUACCACAAAUGGAAAGCCUGUAUCAUGAGCUGUGAAUAAAUAAUCAUAAAUAUAAAUGCAUAACGAUUAUUGUAUUAGUCUGUGCACCAUCUACAUAAUUUCAUAUUUCACUACUGGUACGUGUUUGGAAAAUACUGGUUUGGCGUAUGGUGCUGAUAAAGACCAGUGUUGCAGGCUUGACCUCCGUAAGAACAGAUGUCCCAUGAGAACAGAUACUUUGAUUUGUUUCUUGCUGUACCUCCAGCUCCUAGAACAAUGCCUAGCACGAAUCAGGUACUAAAAAAUAUUAAAUAAAUAAGCAAAUAAAUAAGGGCCAGUUAGCUUCUCAAAGAUCAACCUGUAUUUCCGUUAUAGUCACACUAAUCAUACUUAAUUGUAGUUACUUGUCUAAGUCUCUCAAUCACUAGAUUGGUCAAAGACUUGGGCUUUCUUGUUCACUUCUGUUAUAAUCAGUGCCUAGACAAUGUCUGGCACACAGUAGGUGCUUAAUAAAUACUCACUGAAUGAAGGGAGAACACCAUUCCAAGGUCAUACAACUUUUUUGUCUAUAAUCUCACUGGUCAUUUUUAUAGAGGAGUUGAAUUGGCCAACAGUGGCUUAAAACUAUUCAGUACCCGGCACAUUAAAAAAAAAAAAAUGAAUGAAUGAAAAUUUUUGUGACACCAUAAAAAGAGAGUCAACUCCUUAUAUGAAAGAAAGAACUUUAAAGGAGAAUAGAUAAUCCUUUUUCAAUGUUUAUAUAUAGUGCCAAUUUUCAACUCUUGAAUAAGUCACCCAGGCAAGCC
Long non-coding RNA from Equus caballus (horse), 3681 nucleotides. The record is from Ensembl. NCBI's taxonomy places the organism in Eukaryota, Metazoa, Chordata, Mammalia, Perissodactyla, Equidae.